RNAcentral lists this ribosomal RNA (269 nucleotides) under uncultured bacterium. RNAcentral describes it as "partial 16S ribosomal RNA". It matches the Rfam family "Bacterial small subunit ribosomal RNA", at positions 85 to 354 of the family's 1533-position model. The record is from RNAcentral.
UUUUAGUUUAGUGGCGGACGGGUGAGUAACGCGUGGGUAACCUGCCCUAUACAGGGGGAUAAUAGUUGGAAACGACUGUUAAUACCGCAUAAGCGCACAGGAGCGCAUGCUCCGGUGUGAAAAACUCCGGUGGUAUAGGAUGGACCCGCGUCUGAUUAGCUGGUUGGCGGGGUAACGGCCCACCAAGGCGACGAUCAGUAGCCGGCCUGAGAGGGUGAACGGCCACAUUGGGACUGAGACACGGCCCAAACUCCUACGGGAGGCAGCAG